Molecule: ribosomal RNA, 797 nt
Filed under: uncultured Sphaerochaeta sp.
Lineage: Bacteria; Pseudomonadati; Spirochaetota; Spirochaetia; Spirochaetales; Sphaerochaetaceae
Description: bacterial SSU rRNA
Rfam family: Bacterial small subunit ribosomal RNA
Source: RNAcentral
AGAGUUUGAUCCUGGCUCAGAACGAACGCUGGCGGCGCGUUUUAAGCAUGCAAGUCGAGCGGCAAGGGUCUUCGGGCCCCUAGAGCGGCGGACGGGUGAGUAACACGUGGACAAUCUGCCCCCCGGCCGGGGAUAGCCCAGGGAAACCUGGAUUAAUACCGGAUGAGACGGGACCCGCGGAGGCGGGAUCCGGGAAAGGCGCUGCGGCGCCGCCGGGGGAUGAGUCUGCGUCCCAUUAGCUUGACGGCGGGGUAACGGCCCACCGUGGCGACGAUGGGUAGCCGGCCUGAGAGGGUGUACGGCCACAUUGGAACUGAGACACGGUCCAGACUCCUACGGGAGGCAGCAGCUAAGAACCUUCCGCAAUGGGCGAAAGCCUGACGGAGCGACGCCGCGUGAACGAAGAAGGCCGUGAGGUUGUAAAGUUCCUUUCGGGAGGGGGAACAACCGUGGCAGGGAAUGGCCGCGGGAUGACGUGAAUCCCGGAAUAAGCCCCGGCUAACUACGUGCCAGCAGCCGCGGUAACACGUAGGGGGCGAGCGUUGUUCGGAAUCAUUGGGCGUAAAGGGCGUGCAGGCGGUCCUGCAAGUCCGGCGUGAAAGACCCCGGCCCAACCGGGGGGGCGCGCUGGAAACUGCAGGGCUUGAGUACAGGAGGGGAUGCCGGAAUUCCAGGUGUAGGGGUGAAAUCUGUAGAUAUCUGGAGGAACACCAAUGGCGAAGGCAGGCAUCUGGCCAUGUACUGACGCUGAGACGCGAAGGUGCGGGGAGCAAACAGGAUUAGAUACCCUGGUAGUC